UUUUUGCGUGUGUGUGAGAGUAUAUUUCUUGAUUUGAUCUAAUUGGAGGAGCAAUGUGCAUGAACUUGCUAGCUGGUAGUGUUUUUCUUCUUCAGGUUUCAGCUUUAUGAGCUUGAUCGCCAGAAUCAGUGGAGGAUUAUAUUGGCGAGGCGUCUCUUCUUGCAAGGAAAUGAACCCCCCCAUGAACUUCUGAUUCGAUUCCCACUUGGCUACCAAUCUAUGUAGCAGAGAAGCUUAAGGGCCAUACUGUGAUCAAGAACUACCUUCUCAUGGGGAAGAGAGAACAUCGUUGCAGUUUGCCAGAGAUCAAUGAUUUUACUCCUCCGUUGUGGGCUUGUGGUUUAAGAGAAUAUUGUUGCCUUGUUUUUCCUGAACUACGUACGUACAUUGCCUUCUCUUUCUUGUGUCUGUGUGCUAAUUUGUUGGCUUCCAUGAGUUUGUAUGAAUGAACAUCAAAUAAACUAGCUAGCCGCUCGGUUGUUA
This 483-nucleotide long non-coding RNA is filed under the name Populus tremula. Its description in RNAcentral is "long non-coding RNA (PTRE_LNC000564)". Lineage: Eukaryota; Viridiplantae; Streptophyta; Magnoliopsida; Malpighiales; Salicaceae. The record is from RNAcentral.